RNAcentral lists this non-coding RNA (137 nucleotides) under Vibrio crassostreae. The record is from RNAcentral. Lineage: Bacteria; Pseudomonadati; Pseudomonadota; Gammaproteobacteria; Vibrionales; Vibrionaceae.
CCAUCUGUAUCACCAGAUGAACCUAAGGCUCUGAAUAAAGUAGCGAGCCUGACAAUGUAACGAAGGUUGGUCAUAGACCAAUCGGGAUCAAAAUCGUGAGAGGACGAUCCUCCUGAUAACCACAAUCGGGUGAGUGC